GCUUUCCAGUCCUUAACUGACGCUAAAGCUCGAAAGUGCGGGUAUCGAACAGGAUUAGAUACCCUGGUAGUCCGCACGGUAAACGAUGGAUGCCCGCUGUUGGCGAUACAAUGUCAGCGGCCAAGCGAAAGCGUUAAGCAUCCCACCUGGGGAGUACGCCGGCAACGGUGAAACUCAAAGGAAUUGACGGGGGCCCGCACAAGCGGAGGAACAUGUGGUUUAAUUCGAUGAUACGCGAGGAACCUUACCCGGGCUUGAACUGCAGCUGAACGAUCCAGAGAUGGUGAGGCCCUUCGGGGCAGCUGUGGAGGUGCUGCAUGGUUGUCGUCAGCUCGUGCCGUGAGGUGUCGGCUUAAGUGCCAUAACGAGCGCAACCCUUUUCAUUAGUUGCCAUCAGGUAGAGCUGGGCACUCUGGUGAUACUGCCACCGUAAGGUGUGAGGAAGGUGGGGAUGACGUCAAAUCAGCACGGCCCUUACGUCCGGGGCUACACACGUGUUACAAUGGGUGGUACAGAGAGUUGGUCGUUUGCAAAUGCGAUCUAAUCCUUAAAGCCAUCCUCAGUUCGGAUUGGGGUCUGCAACCCGACCCCAUGAAGCUGG
Molecule: ribosomal RNA, 601 nt
Filed under: uncultured bacterium
Lineage: Bacteria
Description: bacterial SSU rRNA
Rfam family: Bacterial small subunit ribosomal RNA
Source: RNAcentral